CGGGGUGAGUAAUGUCUGGGAAACUGCCCGAUGGAGGGGGAUGACUACUGGAAACGGUAGCUAAUACCGCAUAACGUCGCAAGACCAAAGAGGGGGACCUUAGGGCCUCUUGCCAUCGGAUGUGCCCAGAUGGGAUUAGCUAGUAGGUGGGGUAAUGGCUCACCUAGGCGACGAUCCCUAGCUGGUCUGAGAGGAUGACCAGCCACACUGGAACUGAGACACGGUCCAG
Molecule: ribosomal RNA, 229 nt
Filed under: uncultured bacterium
Lineage: Bacteria
Description: partial 16S ribosomal RNA
Rfam family: Bacterial small subunit ribosomal RNA
Source: RNAcentral